RNAcentral lists this long non-coding RNA (456 nucleotides) under Medicago truncatula (barrel medic). Its description in RNAcentral is "long non-coding RNA (MTRU_LNC003187)". The record is from RNAcentral. Lineage: Eukaryota; Viridiplantae; Streptophyta; Magnoliopsida; Fabales; Fabaceae.
GGAUAUGAACAAAUAUGAGCUUUUUGGGCAAUUGUCAAGAUAUGCAUAAUUAAGAUCAAGACCAAAGCAAAUAUUCUCUUUUGUCUCACUUAAAGAGGAAAGAACUCAAGGUUCUUGGAAAUGCAUUAAAGGACAAAGAAACAAAGGAAAUAAAUUAUAUUCUUGCACAUGUGUUGGAAGCAAAAAGAAUAAAAUCAUCUUUGGACCCUCAUGUGGCUUUUUCGAUCCAUUAAGGAAUUUUGAGGAAAAGGAAUAUUCAAAUGAUCAAUAUUUAUCUCCAAGCUACAUGACAUCAUCAAGAUGACCUUAGCAAACAUCAUCAAGUGGGCAGCAAGUUACAAAGGCUUGAUCACAGCUCAUCACCAACUAAGCAAGCACAUGCUCUACAAUUUCGUUCAAGUUUUGGUUGGGACUGAGAGAAUGUUCUGGGCGAAACUGAAGAAACAUUCUCUACAU